AACGAACGCUGGCGGCAUGCCUAACACAUGCAAGUCGAACGAGACCUCCGGGUCUAGUGGCGCACGGGUGCGUAACGCGUGGGAACCUGCCCUUAGGUUCGGAAUAACUCCCUGAAAGGGGUGUUAAUACCGGAUAAUGUCUUCGGACCAAAGAUUUAUAGCCUUUGGAUGGGCCCGAGUUGGAUUAGCUAGUUGGUAGGGUAAAAGCCUACCAAGGCGACGAUCCAUAGCUGGUCUGAGAGGAUGAUCAGCCACACUGGGACUGGGACACGGCCCAGACUCCUACGGGAGGCAGCAGUGGUGAAUAUUGGACAAUGGGCGAAGGCCUGAUCCAGCAAUGACGCGUGAGUGAUGAAGGCCUUAGGGUUGUAAAGCCCUUUUAGCCGGGAUGAUAAUGACAGUACCGGGAGAAUAAGCUCCGGCUAACUCCGUG
This 433-nucleotide ribosomal RNA is filed under the name uncultured bacterium. RNAcentral describes it as "partial 16S ribosomal RNA". It matches the Rfam family "Bacterial small subunit ribosomal RNA", at positions 29 to 507 of the family's 1533-position model. The record is from RNAcentral.